Molecule: long non-coding RNA, 1227 nt
Organism: Tachysurus fulvidraco (yellow catfish)
Lineage: Eukaryota; Metazoa; Chordata; Actinopteri; Siluriformes; Bagridae
Exons: 3
Source: RefSeq, a predicted model, not a curated record
CUGCAGCACAUCACCGACAUCCAAACGUCUGUAUCCACAUUAGAGAGCUACCUGGGUGUGAUUACGGUGCUUACGGCCGCCUGGGCGGGUUUAACAGUCAGAAAUGCGCAGUGCUCUGCUCCGUGUGUCCUCCAUUUUUCAUAGCCAAUGAUAAAGUGGUAAAGGAGGAAAUCAGAGAUUGGAGCUCACACAGAUGCUCCACUCAGAUGGCAACCUGAGCUCUGGACUGAACUAAGUACACAUGUUAGCAGCAGGAAAAUGUGUUGGGGCAGAUGGACACCAGCUGCUUGAAUGAAGGCCCUAUAUAAACAUCUUUUGAAGCACGUACUUUCACAUAUGGCCUCUUAUACACAACAUACUCACUUCAGCAUUGUUGAAAUCUGGUGGGACAGCAGUGUGUGUUUCAACAGGUUUACAAUCUGUAACCAAGUCUCUGUUACCACAAUAAAUAUGCAUUCAAAAAUCACAGUAAAAUGAUCUAAGGCUAAAAUAUUAGACAGAUAUUUGCAAAGCUGUAUUGUGUGUCUAUUGUAAAAGUGGAUUAACACCGGAUUGAGGACUGGUUCAGAGAAAAACCUUAAAUAUGUACAAAACCUGUUAAAGUUUACUAUACAGAACCACUUUAUCAUUGCACUUACUGUUCUCUCUCACAAUUCCAGUAUCAGACAGCGGAUUUGAUUAGUUCUUAAAUAAAGUGGCUUUAUAUCAUAUUGGAAUUGCUUUCCUGUGGUCUUGAUGAGGCUCAACCACUGUAUGACCUCUCCACGCCUCCACAACACUGCUUUAAUGAACUUUAGACUUACCACAGUUAAACAUCUCUAGUACAGAAGCACUGUAGGAAUUGUUUAGCUUGGGUUAAGUUUGCACGUGUCCUCAGGCAUGCAGACUGAUUUAUCCUGCCAGUCAUCUGACUCACGGUUUUGUUUUUAUGAUUAUUGGAAAAAGUAACUAGGUAAUCAAAUCACUGUGUAAUUUAUUUUGUAAUGCCUUUUACAUUCCUGUAAAUUAAAUAUCUAAAAUGAAAUUAAGCAAGUCUUUUAGGGGAUGGCACAGUAACCCAGCGUAUGAUUGUACUCCCUCACAGCUCCUCAAAGCUCCAGGUUCCCCAGUUCAAUCCUGAUCUCAUGUUACUGUAUUUGCAGAGUUUCACAUGCUUUCUGUUUACAUGUGGGUUUCCUCCAGGUUCUCACAUUUCCUGUCACUUCCUAAUAGAAAAUACCUUGCAGU